This 2196-nucleotide long non-coding RNA is filed under the name Chlamydomonas reinhardtii. RNAcentral's name for it is "long non-coding RNA (CREI_LNC000957)". Lineage: Eukaryota; Viridiplantae; Chlorophyta; Chlorophyceae; Chlamydomonadales; Chlamydomonadaceae. The record is from RNAcentral.
UGCACUGUUGUUUCACAUUUUCAUAUGUGCAUGUUGCCUGACCUAUUUGCAAUGCAGACACGAGCAGGGAGCCAUGUUGCCAGCCCUCACAGUGCCUUCAGUGCCCCUGCACGCCUGGACAAGGCGGGUGGGGUCCACACUGCCCAGCCAUCACCACACACCCCACCUGCCACACCCACCCUUGUGCACUGUUGUUUCACAUUUUCAUAUGUGCAUGUUGCCUGACCUAUUUGCAAUGCAGACACGAGCAGGGAGCCAUGUUGCCAGCCCUCACAGUGCCUUCAGUGCCCCUGCACGCCUGGACAAGGCGGGUGGGGUCCACACCGCCCAGCCAUCACCACACACCCCACCUGCCACACCCACCCUUGUGCACUGUUGUUUCACAUUUUCAUAUGUGCAUGUCGCCUGACCUAUUUGCAAUGCAGACACGAGCAGGGAGCCAUGUUGCCAGCCCUCACAGUGCCUUCAGUGCCCCUGCACGCCUGGACAAGGCGGGUGGGGUCCACACCGCCCAGCCAUCACCACACACCCCACCUGCCACACCCACCCUUGUGCACUGUUGUUUCACAUUUUCAUAUGUGCAUGUUGCCUGACCUAUUUGCAAUGCAGACACGAGCAGGGAGCCAUGUUGCCAGCCCUCACAGUGCCUUCAGUGCCCCUGCACGCACGCCUGGACAAGGCGGGUGGGGUCCACACCGCCCAGCCAUCACCACACACCCCACCUGCCACACCCACCCUUGUGCACUGUUGUUUCACAUUUUCAUAUGUGCAUGUUGCCUGACCUAUUUGCAAUGCAGACACGAGCAGGGAGCCAUGUUGCCAGCCCUCACAGUGCCUUCAGUGCCCCUGCACGCCUGGACAAGGCGGGUGGGGUCCACACCGCCCAGCCAUCACCACACACCCCACCUGCCACACCCACCCUUGUGCACUGUUGUUUCACAUUUUCAUAUGUGCAUGUUGCCUGACCUAUUUGCAAUGCAGACACGAGCAGGGAGCCAUGUUGCCAGCCCUCACAGUGCCUUCAGUGCCCCUGCACGCACGCCUGGACAAGGCGGGUGGGGUCCACACCGCCCAGCCAUCACCACACACCCCACCUGCCACACCCACCCUUGUGCACUGUUGUUUCACAUUUUCAUAUGUGCAUGUUGCCUGACCUAUUUGCAAUGCAGACACGAGCAGGGAGCCAUGUUGCCAGCCCUCACAGUGCCUUCAGUGCCCCUGCACGCACGCCUGGACAAGGCGGGUGGGGUCCACACCGCCCAGCCAUCACCACACACCCCACCUGCCACACCCACCCUUGUGCACUGUUGUUUCACAUUUUCAUAUGUGCAUGUUGCCUGACCUAUUUGCAAUGCAGACACGAGCAGGGAGCCAUGUUGCCAGCCCUCACAGUGCCUUCAGUGCCCCUGCACGCCUGGACAAGGCGGGUGGGGUCCACACCGCCCAGCCAUCACCACACACCCCACCUGCCACACCCACCCUUGUGCACUGUUGUUUCACAUUUUCAUAUGUGCAAGUUGCCUGACCUAUUUGCAAUGCAGACACGAGCAGGGAGCCAUGUUGCCAGCCCUCACAGUGCCUUCAGUGCCCCUGCACGCCUGGACAAGGCGGGUGGGGUCCACACCGCCCAGCCAUCACCACACACCCCACCUGCCACACCCACCCUUGUGCACUGUUGUUUCACAUUUUCAUAUGUGCAUGUUGCCUGACCUAUUUGCAAUGCAGACACGAGCAGGGAGCCAUGUUGCCAGCCCUCACAGUGCGUUCAGUGCCCCUGCACGCCUGGACAAGGCGGGUGGGGUCCACACCGCCCAGCCAUCACCACACACCCCACCUGCCACACCCACCCUUGUGCACUGUUGUUUCACAUUUUCAUAUGUGCAUGUUGCCUGACCUAUUUGCAAUGCAGACACGAGCAGGGAGCCAUGUUGCCAGCCCUCACAGUGCCUUCAGUGCCCCUGCACGCACGCCUGGACAAGGCGGGUGGGGUCCACACCGCCCAGCCAUCACCACACACCCCACCUGCCACACCCACCCUUGUGCACUGUUGUUUCACAUUUUCAUAUGUGCAUGUUGCCUGACCUAUUUGCAAUGCAGACACGAGCAGGGAGCCAUGUUGCCAGCCCUCACAGUGCCUUCCGUGCCCCUGCACGCCUGGACAAGGCGGGUGGGGUCCACACCGCCCAGCCAUCACCA